This 2902-nucleotide ribosomal RNA is filed under the name Escherichia coli. Its description in RNAcentral is "bacterial LSU rRNA". It matches the Rfam family "Bacterial large subunit ribosomal RNA". The record is from RNAcentral. Lineage: Bacteria; Pseudomonadati; Pseudomonadota; Gammaproteobacteria; Enterobacterales; Enterobacteriaceae.
UUAAGCGACUAAGCGUACACGGUGGAUGCCCUGGCAGUCAGAGGCGAUGAAGGACGUGCUAAUCUGCGAUAAGCGUCGGUAAGGUGAUAUGAACCGUUAUAACCGGCGAUUUCCGAAUGGGGAAACCCAGUGUGUUUCGACACACUAUCAUUAACUGAAUCCAUAGGUUAAUGAGGCGAACCGGGGGAACUGAAACAUCUAAGUACCCCGAGGAAAAGAAAUCAACCGAGAUUCCCCCAGUAGCGGCGAGCGAACGGGGAGCAGCCCAGAGCCUGAAUCAGUGUGUGUGUUAGUGGAAGCGUCUGGAAAGGCGCGCGAUACAGGGUGACAGCCCCGUACACAAAAAUGCACAUAUUGUGAGCUCGAUGAGUAGGGCGGGACACGUGGUAUCCUGUCUGAAUAUGGGGGGACCAUCCUCCAAGGCUAAAUACUCCUGACUGACCGAUAGUGAACCAGUACCGUGAGGGAAAGGCGAAAAGAACCCCGGCGAGGGGAGUGAAAAAGAACCUGAAACCGUGUACGUACAAGCAGUGGGAGCCUCUUUUAUGGGGUGACUGCGUACCUUUUGUAUAAUGGGUCAGCGACUUAUAUUCUGUAGCAAGGUUAACCGAAUAGGGGAGCCGAAGGGAAACCGAGUCUUAACUGGGCGUUAAGUUGCAGGGUAUAGACCCGAAACCCGGUGAUCUAGCCAUGGGCAGGUUGAAGGUUGGGUAACACUAACUGGAGGACCGAACCGACUAAUGUUGAAAAAUUAGCGGAUGACUUGUGGCUGGGGGUGAAAGGCCAAUCAAACCGGGAGAUAGCUGGUUCUCCCCGAAAGCUAUUUAGGUAGCGCCUCGUGAAUUCAUCUCCGGGGGUAGAGCACUGUUUCGGCAAGGGGGUCAUCCCGACUUACCAACCCGAUGCAAACUGCGAAUACCGGAGAAUGUUAUCACGGGAGACACACGGCGGGUGCUAACGUCCGUCGUGAAGAGGGAAACAACCCAGACCGCCAGCUAAGGUCCCAAAGUCAUGGUUAAGUGGGAAACGAUGUGGGAAGGCCCAGACAGCCAGGAUGUUGGCUUAGAAGCAGCCAUCAUUUAAAGAAAGCGUAAUAGCUCACUGGUCGAGUCGGCCUGCGCGGAAGAUGUAACGGGGCUAAACCAUGCACCGAAGCUGCGGCAGCGACGCUGAUGCGUUGUUGGGUAGGGGAGCGUUCUGUAAGCCUGUGAAGGUGUGCUGUGAGGCAUGCUGGAGGUAUCAGAAGUGCGAAUGCUGACAUAAGUAACGAUAAAGCGGGUGAAAAGCCCGCUCGCCGGAAGACCAAGGGUUCCUGUCCAACGUUAAUCGGGGCAGGGUGAGUCGACCCCUAAGGCGAGGCCGAAAGGCGUAGUCGAUGGGAAACAGGUUAAUAUUCCUGUACUUGGUGUUACUGCGAAGGGGGGACGGAGAAGGCUAUGUUGGCCGGGCGACGGUUGUCCCGGUUUAAGCGUGUAGGCUGGUUUUCCAGGCAAAUCCGGAAAAUCAAGGCUGAGGCGUGAUGACGAGGCACUACGGUGCUGAAGCAACAAAUGCCCUGCUUCCAGGAAAAGCCUCUAAGCAUCAGGUAACAUCAAAUCGUACCCCAAACCGACACAGGUGGUCAGGUAGAGAAUACCAAGGCGCUUGAGAGAACUCGGGUGAAGGAACUAGGCAAAAUGGUGCCGUAACUUCGGGAGAAGGCACGCUGAUAUGUAGGUGAAGCGACUUGCUCGUGGAGCUGAAAUCAGUCGAAGAUACCAGCUGGCUGCAACUGUUUAUUAAAAACACAGCACUGUGCAAACACGAAAGUGGACGUAUACGGUGUGACGCCUGCCCGGUGCCGGAAGGUUAAUUGAUGGGGUCAGCGCAAGCGAAGCUCUUGAUCGAAGCCCCGGUAAACGGCGGCCGUAACUAUAACGGUCCUAAGGUAGCGAAAUUCCUUGUCGGGUAAGUUCCGACCUGCACGAAUGGCGUAAUGAUGGCCAGGCUGUCUCCACCCGAGACUCAGUGAAAUUGAACUCGCUGUGAAGAUGCAGUGUACCCGCGGCAAGACGGAAAGACCCCGUGAACCUUUACUAUAGCUUGACACUGAACAUUGAGCCUUGAUGUGUAGGAUAGGUGGGAGGCUUUGAAGUGUGGACGCCAGUCUGCAUGGAGCCGACCUUGAAAUACCACCCUUUAAUGUUUGAUGUUCUAACGUUGACCCGUGAUCCGGGUUGCGGACAGUGUCUGGUGGGUAGUUUGACUGGGGCGGUCUCCUCCUAAAGAGUAACGGAGGAGCACGAAGGUUGGCUAAUCCUGGUCGGACAUCAGGAGGUUAGUGCAAUGGCAUAAGCCAGCUUGACUGCGAGCGUGACGGCGCGAGCAGGUGCGAAAGCAGGUCAUAGUGAUCCGGUGGUUCUGAAUGGAAGGGCCAUCGCUCAACGGAUAAAAGGUACUCCGGGGAUAACAGGCUGAUACCGCCCAAGAGUUCAUAUCGACGGCGGUGUUUGGCACCUCGAUGUCGGCUCAUCACAUCCUGGGGCUGAAGUAGGUCCCAAGGGUAUGGCUGUUCGCCAUUUAAAGUGGUACGCGAGCUGGGUUUAGAACGUCGUGAGACAGUUCGGUCCCUAUCUGCCGUGGGCGCUGGAGAACUGAGGGGGGCUGCUCCUAGUACGAGAGGACCGGAGUGGACGCAUCACUGGUGUUCGGGUUGUCAUGCCAAUGGCACUGCCCGGUAGCUAAAUGCGGAAGAGAUAAGUGCUGAAAGCAUCUAAGCACGAAACUUGCCCCGAGAUGAGUUCUCCCUGACUCCUUGAGAGUCCUGAAGGAACGUUGAAGACGACGACGUUGAUAGGCCGGGUGUGUAAGCGCAGCGAUGCGUUGAGCUAACCGGUACUAAUGAACCGUGAGGCUUAACCUU